RNAcentral lists this ribosomal RNA (497 nucleotides) under uncultured bacterium. RNAcentral's name for it is "partial 16S ribosomal RNA". It matches the Rfam family "Bacterial small subunit ribosomal RNA", at positions 899 to 1397 of the family's 1533-position model. The record is from RNAcentral.
ACUCAAAUGAAUUGACGGGGGCCCGCACAAGCGGUGGAGCAUGUGGUUUAAUUCGACGCAACGCGAAGAACCUUACCCAGGCUCGAAAUGCAGGGGACAGACGGCGAAAGUCGUUUUCCGCAAGGACUCCUGUAUAGGUGCUGCAUGGCUGUCGUCAGCUCGUGUCGUGAGAUGUUGGGUUAAGUCCCGCAACGAGCGCAACCCUUGUUCGCUGUUGCCAUCAGGUCAAGCUGGGCACUCUGCGAAGACUGCCGGUGAUAAACCGGAGGAAGGUGGGGAUGACGUCAAGUCAGCAUGGCCUUUAUGUCUGGGGCCACACACGUGCUACAAUGGCCGGUACAAAGCGUCGCAAGCCCGCGAGGGGGAGCUAAUCGCAUAAAGCCGGUCUCAGUUCGGAUUGUAGGCUGCAACUCGCCUGCAUGAAGUUGGAAUCGCUAGUAAUCGCAGAUCAGCAGGCUGCGGUGAAUACGUUCCCGGGCCUUGUACACACCGCCCGU